UUGAAGAGUUUGAUCAUGGCUCAGAUUGAACGCUGGCGGCAGGCCUAACACAUGCAAGUCGAGCGGUAGCACAGAGAGCUUGCUCUCGGGUGACGAGCGGCGGACGGGUGAGUAAUGUCUGGGAAACUGCCUGAUGGAGGGGGAUAACUACUGGAAACGGUAGCUAAUACCGCAUAACGUCGCAAGACCAAAGUGGGGGACCUUCGGGCCUCAUGCCAUCAGAUGUGCCCAGAUGGGAUUAGCUGGUAGGUGGGGUAACGGCUCACCUAGGCGACGAUCCCUAGCUGGUCUGAGAGGAUGACCAGCCACACUGGAACUGAGACACGGUCCAGACUCCUACGGGAGGCAGCAGUGGGGAAUAUUGCACAAUGGGCGCAAGCCUGAUGCAGCCAUGCCGCGUGUGUGAAGAAGGCCUUCGGGUUGUAAAGCACUUUCAGCGGGGAGGAAGGCGGUGAGGUUAAUAACCUCAYCGAUUGACGUUACCCGCAGAAGAAGCACCGGCUAACUCCGUGCCAGCAGCCGCGGUAAUACGGAGGGUGCAAGCGUUAAUCGGAAUUACUGGGCGUAAAGCGCACGCAGGCGGUCUGUCAAGUCGGAUGUGAAAUCCCCGGGCUCAACCUGGGAACUGCAUUCGAAACUGGCAGGCUAGAGUCUUGUAGAGGGGGGUAGAAUUCCAGGUGUAGCGGUGAAAUGCGUAGAGAUCUGGAGGAAUACCGGUGGCGAAGGCGGCCCCCUGGACAAAGACUGACGCUCAGGUGCGAAAGCGUGGGGAGCAAACAGGAUUAGAUACCCUGGUAGUCCACGCUGUAAACGAUGUCGAUUUGGAGGUUGUGCCCUUGAGGCGUGGCUUCCGGAGCUAACGCGUUAAAUCGACCGCCUGGGGAGUACGGCCGCAAGGUUAAAACUCAAAUGAAUUGACGGGGGCCCGCACAAGCGGUGGAGCAUGUGGUUUAAUUCGAUGCAACGCGAAGAACCUUACCUGGUCUUGACAUCCACAGAACUUWSCAGAGAUGSWUUGGUGCCUUCGGGAACUGUGAGACAGGUGCUGCAUGGCUGUCGUCAGCUCGUGUUGUGAAAUGUUGGGUUAAGUCCCGCAACGAGCGCAACCCUUAUCCUUUGUUGCCAGCGGUYMGGCCGGGAACUCAAAGGAGACUGCCAGUGAUAAACUGGAGGAAGGUGGGGAUGACGUCAAGUCAUCAUGGCCCUUACGACCAGGGCUACACACGUGCUACAAUGGCAUAUACAAAGAGAAGCGACCUCGCGAGAGCAAGCGGACCUCAUAAAGUAUGUCGUAGUCCGGAUUGGAGUCUGCAACUCGACUCCAUGAAGUCGGAAUCGCUAGUAAUCGUAGAUCAGAAUGCUACGGUGAAUACGUUCCCGGGCCUUGUACACACCGCCCGUCACACCAUGGGAGUGGGUUGCAAAAGAAGUAGGUAGCUUAACCUUCGGGAGGGCGCUUACCACUUUGUGAUUCAUGACUGGGGUGAAGUCGUAACAAGGUAACCGUAGGGGAACCUGCGGUUGGAUCACCUCCUU
RNAcentral lists this ribosomal RNA (1536 nucleotides) under Klebsiella variicola. Its description in RNAcentral is "bacterial SSU rRNA". Lineage: Bacteria; Pseudomonadati; Pseudomonadota; Gammaproteobacteria; Enterobacterales; Enterobacteriaceae. The record is from RNAcentral.